AUCCUUUUAUAGUUCAUAGGCAUGAUUGGGUUUUCAUGUGCAGGUGUGAGAUAUGCCUCCCACAAAUCUUGUUACCACGUCAGCACAUUACCUGUCUGACG
Molecule: small nucleolar RNA, 101 nt
Organism: Nycticebus coucang (slow loris)
Lineage: Eukaryota; Metazoa; Chordata; Mammalia; Primates; Lorisidae
Product: small nucleolar RNA U13
Exons: 1
Source: RefSeq, a predicted model, not a curated record